This 253-nucleotide ribosomal RNA is filed under the name uncultured bacterium. Its description in RNAcentral is "partial 16S ribosomal RNA". It matches the Rfam family "Bacterial small subunit ribosomal RNA", at positions 524 to 776 of the family's 1533-position model. The record is from RNAcentral.
UACGGAGGAUGCAAGCGUUAUCCGGAAUCACUGGGUUUAAAGGGUGCGUAGGUGGGUGAAUAAGUCAGAGGUGAAAGCUGGUCGCUUAACGAUCAAAUUGCCUUUGAAACUGUACAUCUUGAAACACAAUGAGGUCAGCAGAAUGUGACAUGUAGCGGUGAAAUGCAUAGAUAUGUCAUAGAAUACCAAUUGCGAAGGCAGCUGGCUGGUUGUCGUUUGACACUGAGGCACGAAAGCGUGGGGAGCGAACAGG